GACGAACCGUGCAAACGUUGUUCGGAAUCACUGGGCUUAAAGGGCGCGUAGGCGGGCGGCCAAGUCCGGGGUGAAAUCUUUCGGCUCAACCGGAAAAUUGCCUUGGAUACCGGCUGUCUCGAGGGAGGUAGGGGCAUGUGGAACUUCCGGUGGAGCGGUGAAAUGCGUUGAUAUCGGAAGGAACGCCGGUGGCGAAAGCGACGUGCUGGACCUUCUCUGACGCUGAGGCGCGAAAGCUAGGGGAGCGAACGGG
This 253-nucleotide ribosomal RNA is filed under the name uncultured bacterium. RNAcentral's name for it is "partial 16S ribosomal RNA". It matches the Rfam family "Bacterial small subunit ribosomal RNA", at positions 524 to 776 of the family's 1533-position model. The record is from RNAcentral.